AUUGAACGCUGGCGGCAGGCUUAACACAUGCAAGUCGAGCGAGCGGCGGACGGGUGAGUAAUGUCUGGGAACCUGCCUGCUGGAGGGUGAUAACUACUUGACACGGUAGCUAAUACCGCAUACCAUCAGAUGUGCCGAGAUUGGAUUAGCUAGUAGGUGGGUUAAUGGCUCACCUAGGCGACGAUCCCUAGCUGGUCUGAGAGGAUGACCAGCAACACUGGAACGGAGACACGGUCCAGACGCCAAAGGGAGGCAGCAGUGGGGAAUAUGGCACAAUGGGGGAAAGCCUGAUGCAGCCAUGCCGCGUGGGUGAAGAAGGCCUGAGGGUUGUAAAGCACUUUCAGCGAGGAGGCGUUACUCGCAGAAGAAGCACCGGCGAACUCCGUGCCAGCAGCCGCGGUAAUUC
RNAcentral lists this ribosomal RNA (406 nucleotides) under uncultured bacterium. RNAcentral describes it as "partial 16S ribosomal RNA". It matches the Rfam family "Bacterial small subunit ribosomal RNA", at positions 30 to 526 of the family's 1533-position model. The record is from RNAcentral.